RNAcentral lists this unclassified non-coding RNA (344 nucleotides) under Pichia kudriavzevii. RNAcentral describes it as "partial ribonuclease P RNA". It matches the Rfam family "Nuclear RNase P", at positions 90 to 301 of the family's 301-position model. Rfam says of the family: Ribonuclease P (RNase P) is a ubiquitous endoribonuclease, found in archaea, bacteria and eukarya as well as chloroplasts and mitochondria. Its best characterised activity is the generation of mature 5'-ends of tRNAs by cleaving the 5'-leader elements of precursor-tRNAs. Cellular RNase Ps are ribonucleoproteins. Lineage: Eukaryota; Fungi; Ascomycota; Pichiomycetes; Pichiales; Pichiaceae. The record is from RNAcentral.
GGUAUGCGCCGUCCCCGGGCUUUCUCUCUAAUAGAGUAGCUCGGUCCCCUGGAUAGCUUAUUGCUGUCUUCCUCUUGAGAGGUUCCUGGGCGUGCAAGCGCCGGGCAGUUCCACAAGAAAUUUCUGGGGGGCGAUGCGGAGAGAAAAAGAAGGGUUUCCCACGAAUCCCGUCUCUCGUCUCCCCCGUCGCCCUCCACUGGGAGUGUUCUGCGGACGGUUGGCCCUUUAAAUUGGUACUUGCUUGUACAACUUUGGAGGGCUGUUGAGUGCAAUGCGUGGAUCCUUGUCAUCUUGACAUGGAAACUCGAUACCGAUCACUAUGGUGACGGUGGGCUUUUUGUUCG